AUGAGCCUGGCCGCCGCUCUUGGUGGCGCCAUCGACGACGCAUGUGGCUCGUGGCCUCCGAGGUUGUUGGUGCCGCUGCGCGCCGGCGUGUGGUUGGUGAGUUGCUGCCUUCCCGCCGUGUGCAUGUGCUGCCGCUUGCAGCUGCCUCGCAUCUGCUGCUUCGCUGCUACGUGCAUGAGGGAGCUUGGUGGCUGGCCGCCAGCGUACGUGCUGCUAGCUGCUGCUACUUUGCUGCUUGAGAGAUGGCAUGCGGGCGAGCCGGAGAACGAACGGUGCGCACCUGAAGUUGGAGGUGCUCAAGCACUACGCCGGCAGGCUGCUGCAGCUGCUCGAGUCCUCCGCCGGCGUGCUUCGAGUUCUCCAUGGCUGCGUGCCUGUGUAUGGGAGUAUGGAUGUGUGAGACCUGGUUGGUUGCUAAUAGCCGGUACCGGACUGCUGAUUGUUCACAAAGCAGGGGCCUGCAGCACCCUCCUCGGUGUCCGCUUUGCGAUCAAGAGCCCGAUAAUGCUCCUAAACUGUGUGGUGACUCAGUCGGCUUGGUUCGAGAUACUUGGAUGGUGGCGCCUCGCUCCCUGUGUUCCGGAUGCGACGUCAGAGAUCAUAAACUGGUCGACCAACCUUGCUACGGUACAACAUGAAAAGAGGGAUCUCUGGACAGGGGUGAUUCUUAUGUUCUGGUGCACGUGGACUCGUCGCAACAACGUCAUCCUCAAUGGAGCCCGACCUUCCUCACAUGCCAUCAUCGACGUUGUUCGUCAAGAAGGUCUGGGAGAUGCUGAUAACAAGGCUACAUUACUUAUCCGAGGCCGGUUUCCGGGUGAUUACGUGUGGGACCCCAUCGUCAGUUCGAUGUGGCGGAUGCGCCCGGGCGUGCCGAGACGCCCAUAUCCACCUCAUAUUUGGGCUGAAUAUGAAGGCUGCCGUAAUCGGUCCGUCUACCCAAGCGUUGGAGAUGGUUUGAAGCGCCCGGCUGUAGAUGCUCAAAGCUUUUCAGCUCAAAACUCAAAACUUCGUAUUCGAAAAGCAGCAGAGAAAACAAAGGCCUUCGUGUCGUUGCCACUAACUUGUGAUGAAGAAAUCUUGCUGCAAUCCCCCGAUUGCUAG
Molecule: ribosomal RNA, 1104 nt
Filed under: Triticum aestivum (bread wheat)
Lineage: Eukaryota; Viridiplantae; Streptophyta; Magnoliopsida; Poales; Poaceae
Description: partial small subunit ribosomal RNA
Source: RNAcentral